Molecule: ribosomal RNA, 483 nt
Filed under: uncultured bacterium
Lineage: Bacteria
Description: partial 16S ribosomal RNA
Rfam family: Bacterial small subunit ribosomal RNA
Source: RNAcentral
AUUGAACGCUGGCGGCAGGCCUAACACAUGCAAGUCGAGCGGAUGAAGGGAGCUUGCUCCUGGAUUCAGCGGCGGACGGGUGAGUAAUGCCUAGGAAUCUGCCUGGUAGUGGGGGAUAACGUCCGGAAACGGGCGCUAAUACCGCAUACGUCCUGAGGGAGAAAGUGGGGGAUCUUCGGACCUCACGCUAUCAGAUGAGCCUAGGUCGGAUUAGCUAGUUGGUGGGGUAAAGGCCUACCAAGGCGACGAUCCGUAACUGGUCUGAGAGGAUGAUCAGUCAAACGGAAAGGAGAAACCGGCCAGACUCCCACGGGGGGGAACAGGGGGGAAUAUUUGGAAAUGGGGGAAAACCCGAAUCAGGCACGGCGGGGGGGUUAAAAAAGGUUUCGGGUUUGAAAACCCUUUUAAGUGGGAAGAAAGGGCAGUAAAUUAACACCUUGCGUUUUUGCCGUUCCCAAAAAAAAAAGCACCGCCAAACUUCGG